RNAcentral lists this ribosomal RNA (468 nucleotides) under uncultured bacterium. RNAcentral's name for it is "partial 16S ribosomal RNA". It matches the Rfam family "Bacterial small subunit ribosomal RNA", at positions 28 to 507 of the family's 1533-position model. The record is from RNAcentral.
GACGAACGCUGGCGGCGUGCUUAACACAUGCAAGUCGAACGGAAAGGCCCUGCUUUUGUGGGGUGCUCGAGUGGCGAACGGGUGAGUAACACGUGAGUAACCUGCCCUUGACUUUGGGAUAACUUCAGGAAACUGGGGCUAAUACCGGAUAGGAGCUCCUGCUGCAUGGUGGGGGUUGGAAAGUUUCGGCGGUUGGGGAUGGACUCGCGGCUUAUCAGCUUGUUGGUGGGGUAGUGGCUUACCAAGGCUUUGACGGGUAGCCGGCCUGAGAGGGUGACCGGCCAAAUUGGGACUGAGAUACGGCCCAGACUCCUACGGGAGGCAGCAGUGGGGAAUAUUGCACAAUGGGCGGAAGCCUGAUGCAGCAACGCAGCGUGCGGGAUGACGGCCUUCGGGUUGUAAACCGCUUUCGCCUGUGACGAAGCGUGAGUGACGGUAAUGGGUAAAGAAGCACCGGCUAACUACGUG